This is a long non-coding RNA of Dreissena polymorpha, 1040 nucleotides long. RefSeq lists it as uncharacterized. The transcript is spliced from 2 exons. NCBI's taxonomy places the organism in Eukaryota, Metazoa, Mollusca, Bivalvia, Myida, Dreissenidae. The record is from RefSeq and is a predicted model, not a curated record.
UUCUAGGCAUUGAAUGUAACAGUUGUUCGUACAGCAGAGGACGCUAUAGCAAUCUAAAUUGGUGUUCAAUUUGAACCAUUCAGUGCAAAAUUGAAGACGUUUUUCUCAGAAAUCCAUGCGAACCACGCCACAGAUGAGCAUAUAAGAAAAUAAAAAAAUAAAUAUGUUGUUUCAGUUCAUGGGAAAUAUUAAAGUCAAAGUUACAAUAUACUGAGUUUCCUGAUAAAGUACGUUAAAUACUCAACAUAAUUUGGGAAGCGAAACAGUACCUAAAACAAAAAAAAUAUAUAUACAUAGACAUUCGAAGAAACCGACAAGCGAAAUCGAGUGUGUAAAUACGCCUAUAAUAUACGUUAGUACGGUAUUUAUAUAUUCUGUGAAAAGAUAAUCAAACAUGUCAUCACAACGGACAGUACAAGUCAUGCUAGAAAUAUUGGUCGUGUUACUCUGGAUAUCAUGCGUUGUAACUUUACCCGUCGCUCUUCAAAAAGACACACUGAUAAAUCGACUUCCUAACCUGCGUGAUAGACGAAACACACCAGGAAUGGACCCGUCGGACCAUGGAAUGAUAGUAAACGAGAAUGUGGUUCGCUUGAUGUUCCCAGAGAAGCAACAUUUACUGCAUUACCUUGCCUCAAGGAGCCGAGAAGUGAAGAGACAGCGGCAAUGCUAUUGGUCCGUUAUAUCGUGCUUCUAACAGCGCUGCUAUUCAACCCGGGACGCAGUAGACAAAACAACACGAGGAUAUAUUAAUAAAGCGAUUUAUAUUACACUCACCUGAAUAAAAUCUAUUGAUAAAUUUUGCAUGUAAAUAUAUUUUGCAUUCAACAGAACAAAUUAUUCCUUAUGUUUUCAUGAUUUCGAUCUGUUGCUGCGAUGCAGAUACGAUAUAUCUUUUGAAAUACCACAUAGCAUUAGGAGGCAAUAAAAUAUACUUAUAAAAAAAUCUUAAUUCAGUCCUCUAUCUUGUGUUGUAAACAAACGGAACAUGUUAUUAUUUAAUCAAAUAAAAGAAACGAGAUAGGCUUGUUAAAAGUUUU